RNAcentral lists this unclassified non-coding RNA (175 nucleotides) under uncultured Cladophialophora. RNAcentral's name for it is "sequence contains ITS2". The record is from RNAcentral. Lineage: Eukaryota; Fungi; Ascomycota; Eurotiomycetes; Chaetothyriales; Herpotrichiellaceae.
UCACCCCUCAAGCCCUGUGCUUGGUGUUGGACGGCCGGUCGAGCGAUCGACCCCUCCUAAAGACAAUGACGGCGGCCUGUGGUUCCCCCGGUACACUGAGCUUCUCACCGAGCACGUAUCGGACAAGGGCACCCGGGACCCCGGUCUUCUCCUUUCACAAAAGGAACCUUUCUAU